UCAACGCGAGCUGAUGACUCG
Molecule: unclassified non-coding RNA, 21 nt
Filed under: Chlamydomonas reinhardtii
Lineage: Eukaryota; Viridiplantae; Chlorophyta; Chlorophyceae; Chlamydomonadales; Chlamydomonadaceae
Description: small RNA Cre_2438
Source: RNAcentral